UUUGGGGGGGGGAUGUAUGUUCUUAAAGCUGCAUUGUUGGUGAACAGUUUGGAAGUAAACAUUUUACUGUAAGGUCUACAACUGUUUUAUUCGGCGCUUGUCACAAAUACAAUUUGAUUUGAUUUGUCAAGAUUGCAAAAAUAUUACAAGAAAUCUACUGAUGUGAUUGAUGUCAAUAUCUCUCUGUGAAUGAUUGACAGUUAAGUGUGCUCUCCAAUCCCAGCCAACAGAACCGUGGCCAUGGUUUAUUCCGUUUGAUGCUCGAUGACGACGCAAGUUAGCUACUCCCUUUUUAGGUUACUGAUGGAGACAUCAUCAUGAACCAACUUCAAUCAUCUCAGGUCGAGUUGAUACUUCGUAAUGGUAGGGACUAGCUAACUAAACGAAAUACAGACAAGAUAUCACAGGUCAGAUAUCACACGUCAAACAAACAGUGAUGAUAAAUCACUACGGUUGUUAUUUUCUACCUAACUAGCACGUAUGCUACUUUAGCAUACCAGCAGCAACAAGGCAGGUGGGUUGGCUGGCUAGCUGAUGCUAACAACACAAACUUUUUGUACUGAAUCUCAACAUUGUACACAUUAUUCGAGUACACUGAUCAGCGAUUGGCGUUGAAGUAUGAUGUCAUGGUCCACUCCACCAUGACCUGUGCCACAGAGACCAGCAACAUCAGCAACUAUUUUCCUGUUGGAUAAAGUGAGCUGUGACCUGCUUAGAGAGAAUGCUCCUAUUGAGCCUGUGCCACCUGGAAACCUGACUGUGAGUGAUGGCUGUGCUUAAUCCCGGAGAUAGAUGCAAUUACCCACUUCACCUUUUUCUUUAUCAUGAAGAUGGAGCUCGGAUCGCAGGUAGCCUUCCGUCGCUACAUCCACCGUGCAGACAGCAAGCAGAGGACAGAUGCUCUGCAGUUUCCCCCAGAAGGUUGGCGGCGGCUGGGCCUGAAUAACGGCAGCAUCACCUGGAUCACCAUCAGACCGAGUGGCAGGGUGGGACUGAGGAUGGGCGACUCAGGCUUUAUGCCUCCUGAAAAACUUACCCGUACCUGACACUCCACCACCAUUGGCUGACCCCAUGUAACCUGACCUUCUGCUGCCACAUCAUUUGAAGCAAACAUUUCUCCUCUACAAGAUAGUUUUGCCCACGUUGGGAAUCAUUCUUUUGACUAGAGUUUUGUAUGGAAAAACAUUUGAAAUAAUGUACUUUACAGUAUCUUUUCAUUAUAAAUUGAUUUAUUUGAUCAUGCUU
Long non-coding RNA from Oncorhynchus tshawytscha (Chinook salmon), 1245 nucleotides. RefSeq lists it as uncharacterized. Lineage: Eukaryota; Metazoa; Chordata; Actinopteri; Salmoniformes; Salmonidae. The transcript is spliced from 4 exons. The record is from RefSeq and is a predicted model, not a curated record.